This is a non-coding RNA of Podarcis lilfordi (Lilford's wall lizard), 72 nucleotides long. The record is from the annotation of a GenBank genome assembly. Lineage: Eukaryota; Metazoa; Chordata; Lepidosauria; Squamata; Lacertidae.
GCUGUGGCUCAUUGGUAGAUCACCUGCCUUGCAUGCAGAAAGUCCCAGGUUCAAUCCCCAAUGGCAUCUCCA